AUUGAACGCUGGCGGCAGGCCUAACACAUGCAAGUCGAACGGUAACAGGAAACAGCUUGCUGUUUCGCUGACGAGUGGCGGACGGGUGAGUAAUGUCUGGGAAACUGCCUGAUGGAGGGGGAUAACUACUGGAAACGGUAGCUAAUACCGCAUAACGUCGCAAGACCAAAGAGGGGGACCUUCGGGCCUCUUGCCAUCGGAUGUGCCCAGAUGGGAUUAGCUAGUAGGUGGGGUAAUGGCUCACCUAGGCGACGAUCCCUAGCUGGUCUGAGAGGAUGACCAGCCACACUGGAACUGAGACACGGUCCAGACUCCUACGGGAGGCAGCAGUGGGGAAUAUUGCACAAUGGGCGCAAGCCUGAUGCAGCCAUGCCGCGUGUAUGAAGAAGGCCUUCGGGUUGUAAAGUACUUUCAGCGAGGAGGAAGGCGUUAAGGUUAAUAACCUUAGCGAUUGACGUUACUCGCAGAAGAAGCACCGGCUAACUCCGUG
RNAcentral lists this ribosomal RNA (490 nucleotides) under uncultured bacterium. Its description in RNAcentral is "bacterial SSU rRNA". It matches the Rfam family "Bacterial small subunit ribosomal RNA", at positions 30 to 507 of the family's 1533-position model. The record is from RNAcentral.